Molecule: non-coding RNA, 797 nt
Filed under: Acropyga pallida
Lineage: Eukaryota; Metazoa; Arthropoda; Insecta; Hymenoptera; Formicidae
Source: RNAcentral
UAAUCUUUUUAUUAUAAAUUUAUUAAAUAAUUUAUAUAUAAAUAAAAUUUUAUAAUUAUUAAAAUAUUUAAAUAAUUUUAAUUAAUUAAUUUAAUAUUUAAACUAAUUAUUUAAAUGUAAAUUUAUUAUAGAAAAUUAUUUUUAAUUAUUAAUAUAUAAAGUGCCAGCAAUUGCGGUUAUACUUUAAAUAAAAAUAAAUUUUUAUAAUUAAAUAAUUAUUUAAUUUAAAUAUAUUAUUAUAAAUUAAAAGAAAAUUUUUAUGGUGAAAUAUAAAUAAUUAAAAAAUUUUAAUUUAAAAUAUAUUAUAUUAAUUUUUAUAUAAAUACUUAAAAAAAAUUAGGAUUAGAUACCCUAUUAUUAUUAUUAAAUAUAUUUUAAUUUAAAUAUUAAAUGUUUAAUCAUUAAAAAUAAAAGAUUUGGCGGUAUUUUUUUUUUAGAGGAAUUUGCUAAUUAAUUUGAUAAUCCACGAAUGGAUAUACUUAUUUUAUAAAAUUUUUAUAUAUUGUUGUUGAAAAAUUAUAUUAUUAGAUAUUAAUUAAAAAAUUUUUUAAUUUAAAUAAUAAUAAUUCAAAUCAAAAUGUAGAUAAUAAUUAAGAUUUUUAAGUGAAUUACAAUUAAAUAUUAUUAAUGAAAAUUAAAUUUUAAAAUUUAAUAGAAAAUGGAUUUAAUUGUAAAUUUAUAUAAAAAUUUAUAAAUUGAAUUAUAUUUAAAAUAUGUACAAAUUGCCCGUCAUUUUCAUUUUAAGAUGAAAGAAGUCGUAACAAAGUAAAUGUACUGGAAAGUGUAUUUAGAUUAAU